UAUGAUUUUAAGAAUGGUCUCUUGUUAAUAAAGAAUGGGUUUUUUCACACUAUAAAGUGAUCAAACAAUUUAUUUCAAAAUUCAUAAAAGAAAAAAUAUGGCUAAAGUUUAUAUAUUCAUUUGUGCUAUGAUUAUCAUUUUUUCCCUAUUUAUUUCAAUAACAAACUGUAUAGGUAAUUCUAAUCAACAAUUUUAAAUUUGGUGGACACUAGUACCCAAGAUUUCGUUGGCUACCGAUAUCAUUAUAUAAAAUUCAUUAUCAUAGCAUAUUUUUAUAUUAAUUUAUAGAGUUAAAUAAGUUUUUGGAAUUUUGGUUCAAAUAUCUCAAAAUGUUUUUAGUACUUUCAACAAAGAUUAAUCCUCGAUCAAAUAUUAUUCGUCACGAUUUAUGAUCCCUACUUUAUUAAGUCAACUCGAGUAUUUUAUUCGAAAUUUUGAAUUUUUUCCACAAUUUUGUUUACUCCAUUAUAGAAACCUCUCAUAACACAAUUUAAUUGUUUUUUAACAAAUGAUCAAUGAAAUAUAAAUUUAAUUUGAUAGGUUUCAUUAAUUCUUAUUUGAUAUCACAGAACGACUACCUAGCUGCGAAAAGGAUUCGGAUUGUCCAAGGGAUUUGUGUUGGCUUCCUGAUAUUCCAAGAUGCAUGCAUCAAAUGUGUGGAUGUGCCUUGCCCAGUGAUUAAGUUAUCAAUUAUAUGUUCCAAAGAAGCCAUAAAAGUUGCUUCCGAAAAAAAUAAAAAAGAAGCCAUAAAAGUUAAUUAAAGAUAUAGUAUAUUAUGUUAUUUCUACCCAUAUGAUGAUGUUGGUGGUCUUUAUAUGAUUUAUUUCACAGUUAUGUAUUUUUUCUUUUUCUGAUCUUUAAAUUUCAUUGAUGUAUGCAAAAG
This 883-nucleotide long non-coding RNA is filed under the name Trifolium pratense (red clover). RNAcentral's name for it is "long non-coding RNA (TPRA_LNC011773)". The record is from RNAcentral. Lineage: Eukaryota; Viridiplantae; Streptophyta; Magnoliopsida; Fabales; Fabaceae.